ACCUUACCAAACUGUUGCCUCGGCGGGGUCACGCCCCGGGUGCGUCGCAGCCCCGGAACCAGGCGCCCGCCGGAGGGACCAACCAAACUCUUUCUGUAAUCCCCUCGCGGACGUUAUUUUUACAGCUCUGAGCAAAAAUUCAAAAUGAAUCAAAACUUUCAACAACGGAUCUCUUGGUUCUGGCAUCGAUGAAGAACGCAGCGAAAUGCGAUAAGUAAUGUGAAUUGCACAAUUCAUUGAAUCAUCGAAUCUUUGAACGCACAUUGCGCCCGCCAGUAUUCUGGCGGGCAUGCCUGUCCGAGCGUCAUUUCAACCCUCGAACCCCUCCGGGGGUCCGGCGUUGGGGAUCGGGAACCCCUAAGACGGGAUCCCGGCCCCGAAAUACAGUGGCGGUCUCGCCGCAGCCUCUCAUGCGCAGUAGUUUGCACAACUCGCACCGGGAGCGCGGCGCGUCCACGUCCGUAAAACACCCAACUUCUGAAAUGCGGCGAGUGAAGCGGCAACAGCUCAAAUUUGAAAUCUGGCCCCUAGGGUCCGAGUUGUAAUUUGUAGAGGAUGCUUUUGGUGAGGUGCCGCCCGAGUUCCCUGGAACGGGACGCCGCAGAGGGUGAGAGCCCCGUCUGGCUGGCCACCGAGCCUCUGUAAAGCUCCUUCGACGAGUCGAGUAGUUUGGGAAUGCUGCUCAAAAUGGGAGGUAUAUGUCUUCUAAAGCUAAAUAUUGGCCAGAGACCGAUAGCGCACAAGUAGAGUGAUCGAAAGAUGAAAAGCACCUUGAAAAGAGGGUUAAACAGUACGUGAAAUUGUUGAAAGGGAAGCGCUUGUGACCAGACUUGGGCGCGGCGGAUCAUCCGGGGUUCUCCCCGGUGCACUUCGCCGCGUUCAGGCCAGCAUCAGUUCGGCGCGGGGGAAAAAGGCUUCGGGAACGUGGCUCCUCCGGGAGUGUUAUAGCCCGUUGCAUAAUACCCUGCGCUGGACUGAGGACCGCGCAUCUGCAAGGAUGCUGGCGUAAUGGUCACCAGCGACCCGUCUUGAAACACGGACCAAGGAGUCGUCUUCGUAUGCGAGUGUUCGGGUGUCAAACCCCUACGCGUAAUGAAAGUGAACGCAGGUGAGAGCUUCGGCGCAUCAUCGACCGAUCCUGAUGUUCUCGGAUGGAUUUGAGUAAGAGCAUA
RNAcentral lists this small RNA (1172 nucleotides) under Trichoderma sp. CM21. RNAcentral describes it as "eukaryotic LSU rRNA". The stretch from base 427 to 1172 matches the Rfam family "Eukaryotic large subunit ribosomal RNA", at positions 1 to 804 of the family's 3401-position model. Lineage: Eukaryota; Fungi; Ascomycota; Sordariomycetes; Hypocreales; Hypocreaceae. The record is from RNAcentral.